GAGACGCUGGCGGCGUGCUUAACACAUGCAAGUCGAACGGGAGUAUUGAAGAAGCUUGCUUAGAGAUACUUAGUGGCGGACGGGUGAGUAAUGCGUGGGAAUCUACCUGGCAAUGGGGGAUAACCCAGGGAAACUUGGGCUAAUACCGGAUGUGAGCAACUUUUAGUUGUUUGAAAGGUGGCGUAAGCUGUCGCUUGGGGAUGAGCCUGCGUCCUAUUAGUUAGUUGGUGAGGUAACGGCUCACCUAGGCAAUGAUAGGUAGGCGGCCUUAACGGGUGGUCGCCCACACUGGGAUUGAGAUACGGCCCAGACUCCUACGGGAGGCAGCAGUCGAGAAUAGUCUACAAUGGUCGGAAGACUGAUAGUGCGACGCCGCGUGAACGAUGAAUCCCUUCGGGGUGUAAAGUUCUUUUAUAUGUGAGCAGUGCUUCUUAUAUUAACAGUAUGGGGAGAGAGAUAUUAGCAUAUGAAUAAGCAACGGCUAACUCCGUG
Molecule: ribosomal RNA, 492 nt
Filed under: uncultured bacterium
Lineage: Bacteria
Description: bacterial SSU rRNA
Rfam family: Bacterial small subunit ribosomal RNA
Source: RNAcentral